This 187-nucleotide small RNA is filed under the name Mytilus galloprovincialis (Mediterranean mussel). The record is from RNAcentral. Lineage: Eukaryota; Metazoa; Mollusca; Bivalvia; Mytilida; Mytilidae.
UUUAUUUUCCGUUCCGUUCCGCAAAGUACCAAUUGCUCUGAGGAAUUGUAUUUAACGAAAAAAACGGAAACAGACAUUUUAAAUGUAAUUAAAGCAGUAUGAUAAAAAAAUGUCUGACACCUCUUUUUGCAUUAAAUUACCAAUUCCUCAGAGCAAUUGUAUUUGGCGGAACGGAACGGAAAGGAAA